GGAACUUGUCUGUUCCCUGCUGUAUCUCUGUUGCCUAAAGUGCUCUCUGACACAUGACAUUUUUAGACUGAAUGAAUGUCAUGAAGGAGUGAAUGAAUGAAUUCUCUCGCUGUUCAUAGAGGGAGGAAGAGAGCAAUCUACCUGGAGAACCGGAAGGAGAGAUGGUGGCUGAGACGCUGCCCCUGCCUGUCUGCACCGACUGGAGAGACCGAGGCCCAUCAGCGUUCUGAGCCUGCCCCACCAGGAUUUCUCCUGUAUCAGCUCUUUCUGACUCACCCACUGGGUUCUGUUCCAAGAAGAUGAUUUCCCUACAUCUGGGUUCUGCUUUUUAGCCAUGCCUGUAAUUUCUGUUCUCAGUUCCAUGGCACUCGGAUCCACGCUUCCCUGAGGACCUCAUCCCUGACCCCAUGGGCUCAGAACCUAACACGUUGCCAAGCUGGUCCCGGCUCCAACAGCGUUUCAAGCAGCACGUUUUGUGUCCGGGUGUGUGUGCAUUUCCUGGGGCUGCCGUGGCAGAGCACCACAGACAGGGGGGCUCAGAACAACGGAAAUUCAUCAUCUCACAGCUCUGGAGGGUAGAAGUUCCAAAUCAAGGUGCUGGCAGGCCCAGGCUCCUUCUGCAACUUGUAGGGGAAGGGUCCUUCCUUUCUCCUGCUGGCUUCGCUGGUUUGCUG
RNAcentral lists this long non-coding RNA (674 nucleotides) under Equus asinus (donkey). RNAcentral's name for it is "lncRNA (ENSEASG00005031415.1)". Lineage: Eukaryota; Metazoa; Chordata; Mammalia; Perissodactyla; Equidae. The record is from RNAcentral.